GUGUUGUUCUUUCCAUGCGAAUAUGAUUUUCUUGAAUUUGAUUUUCUUCUAACAUCUUUCUUACUGUAGAUGGGGUGUUAAGAAGCCUAAAAUCAUGAAAAAUUUUGUCACGAUCUUGUCGAGUGCAUGUCUUGGGAUGGCCAUGUUCAGUCUCGGUAAGAUCAUUGAUAUGCUCAUUCGACGCGAGGGGUGUCAUCAAGAAAUAUGACAAUCCCGAACAAAUUCUUGAAGAAUUCUUUCAUUUAAGACUUGAGUUCUAUGUAAAGAGAAAGAAAGUAAUGUUGGAUAAUCUUAAGAAGGAAGAAGCCCAGGUGGAGGAGGUGACAGGACAGAUGGAGGGUAGGGCAGGAAAGCCUCUUGCUAAGCUUUUAGACAAGUUGGAAAGAACCAAAGAAAGAAAAACACCAAGAAAGCCAAUGAAGCAGAUACUGUUGUUGAAUUUAUAGCAUCAGUUAGUACUACAACUGAAACUGGACAUGUUUCCGAGGGGGCAAAACCCAAAGGUAGGGGAGCUCCGAAGAAGGCUCCUACUAGAAAGUAGAACAUGCCGACUGCCGUUGAUAGUGAAGAGGAAGAUGAUGAGGUGCUCGAGCUGAAAGUGUGAAUGAUUGUGUUGAGAUCAGGGCUGAAGUUGGAAAUGAAUGAUUGUGUUUGAUUGAAUGAAUGAAUGAUUGUGAAUGAAUAAAUGAUUGUGUUUGAUUGAAUGAAUGAAUGAUUUAGCCAUGAAGUAUUUAUCUAUAUCAGCUUAUAUGAGUUAUCAGGGUGUACUACAA
Molecule: long non-coding RNA, 773 nt
Organism: Magnolia sinica
Lineage: Eukaryota; Viridiplantae; Streptophyta; Magnoliopsida; Magnoliales; Magnoliaceae
Exons: 5
Source: RefSeq, a predicted model, not a curated record